GAUGAACGCUAGCGGGAGGCUUAACACAUGCAAGUCGAGGGGCAUCACGAGGUAGCAAUACUUUGGUGGCGACCGGCGCACGGGUGAGUAACACGUAUGCAACCUACCCUGUACAGGGGGAUAACCCGGAGAAAUUCGGACUAAUAUCCCAUGCAAUUAUUGGAGGGCAUCCUUUGAUAAUUAAAGCUCAGGCGGUAUAGGAUGGGCAUGCGGAACAUUAGCUAGUUGGUAGGGUAACGGCCUACCAAGGCUACGAUGUUUAGGGGACCUGAGAGGGUUGUCCCCCACACUGGUACUGAGACACGGACCAGACUCCUACGGGAGGCAGCAGUGAGGAAUAUUGGUCAAUGGGCGCAAGCCUGAACCAGCCAUCCCGCGUGAAGGAAGAAUGCGCUACGCGUUGUAAACUUCUUUUCCAGGGGGAGAAUAAUCCUGUCGUGACAGGACUUGACGGUACUCUGGGAAUAAGCAUCGGCUAACUCCGUGCCAGCAGCCGCGGUAAU
Molecule: ribosomal RNA, 503 nt
Filed under: uncultured bacterium
Lineage: Bacteria
Description: bacterial SSU rRNA
Rfam family: Bacterial small subunit ribosomal RNA
Source: RNAcentral